Molecule: RNA transcript, 5844 nt
Organism: Cercocebus atys (sooty mangabey)
Lineage: Eukaryota; Metazoa; Chordata; Mammalia; Primates; Cercopithecidae
Gene name: polyribonucleotide nucleotidyltransferase 1, mitochondrial pseudogene
Exons: 1
Source: RefSeq, a predicted model, not a curated record
UUACAGGCAUGAGCCACCGUGUCUGGCCUUGGUUUCUCUUUUUAAUACACGUGGGAUUAUGCUAUUUGUAUUGUUGUGUAGAUAUCUUCCUAGGUCAUUGUAGUGUAAGUCUUCCUCAUUAUUUUAAAUUGCUGCAUAUAUGUGCAUAAAUCAUUGCCCUGAUGAUAGGCAUUUUGAUGAGUCUCAAUAUUUUUACUAUAAUGAACAAUGCUGUAAUGAGCAUCGUGUAGAGGCUGCUUUCUAUACAUGUGCAAGUAUGUAGCAUACCUUGAAGAGGAAUCACUGAAUUUAAGGACAUCUGCACUUCACACUUUAAUAUACACUAUCAAAAUUCCCAUUAGAAAGGCGGUACAAAUGUACUACUCUUCUAGCAACAUAUGUGGGAAUAACAUUUCCUUGAAUUCUGACCAACAUUCAAAUUUAACUAUUCUUGCCUAUCUGAUAAGCAAAAAUGUACCUGAUUGUUUUAACUUGGAAGACAUUAUUUCAAUAUCAUGAUUUCCAUAAUUUCUAUCAUUUGGUGUUCUUAUAAAAGCUAUCUCUCAUCUUAUCCUGGAGAUCUUUCCUUCACAUGGGAACCUCUACAUGACACAGAAAAGAAAAGAUGGAUGGGUGGGGAGAGUCUAGAUUUUUAUUCUAGCUGUUAUGCAUGGUGAGGCCAGCUUAAGAAACACAUGGCUUUUAAAAGACUUUCCAUUGUAUUUGGAGCAGACCAGACUUUUAACCACAAUCCAGAGACUUUUAACUUCACAAAGAUGUGGCAUUUUAUUUUAAUAAAGCUAUCGACAGAGCUCCAUUUUCGAGUGACUUUUCAAAAGCAUCUUUUGUCAGCAGAGGGCUUUUAUUAGCUAAUGUAACCUUUCUGUACUCCACGUUAGCAGAGAGAGAAAGGAAAUGUCCUUGGGUUCCAAAUAUGGAAAGUUGUGCAAAGACUCUCAAGGAGAAAAAAGUUGUUCCGCUUUCUGAAGCUGCAUUUGUCACUCAAUGUUGUAUCGUAACUGAAAGUAAUGAACUUUCCAAUGCUACUGUCCAGAAGGUAAAAGGUUCACAAGAUUAUGCCUCUAAACUGGCAAUUGCAUAAAAAGAGAUCACAAAGGAUUAAAAUGUGGAGAGCAAGUAAAAAUGUGAAUUUAGCUGUGAGUGACAACUUGGAGAGACUCAGCUAUAAAAUAUCUGAAAUGGGGGGAGUUAGGCAAGACCUAGGAGGGAGGAGUGAGAGUAACAGUCUUGGCUGUGGAACAGGGUAGCUAAAUGUUUAGGGCUUAAUCUGAGCCACUACUGAUAAUUAAGCAGCAUCGAUAAACUGAAGGAGCAUGGGGAAGGAGUAUAGAUUGUGGACUCUGGGUGCAAUUCCUGUGGGGUGUUGGUGUUGUGGUUCCAUUAAUUAGUCCUUCGAUGUAAGAGCUCAGUCAGUAGCGGAAGAGGCUGAUGACAGGGGCUUUGACAGGUCUUAGGACACUGGGAAAAUAGAUUAAGAUUCUGGAGCAGGGCUAGUGCAGUGUGGGAUCUGAACGUGUUGUCAGGACCGAGCCCAGCUCUUUGAUUAAGGUCAACAUAGUAGGAAUGGAGAAAGUCACUUAAACGGGAACCUGAACCGGGGCUUCAUUUCAAAGCCCAUGGAACAGAUAGGGAAGGGUGACUAAUGACUUUUCUGCUGUUGCAGUCUGGCUCACAAACUGAGUAAGGCACAAAAGGCAGAAGUGGUGUUGAUAGCAAAGGGUCAUCAGAGAAGGCAGGAAGGACACCCUGUCACACUGCCCCUUGGCUCCCCUGAUAUCACUAUGUUUUUCUUUUUUUUUUCCCCUCAUCCUUGUUAGGAACUGGCAGGUAGUUGUGCUUGAUGUCUAUUAGACUCCAAUUCAAUUUUGAGGUCCAUAAUUCAAUGGGGAUAGAUAUAAAAAGGGUUCCUUUUUCAUUAAAAGGGUAAUUACCUCGUUAUCAGAGUGCUGGAAAGAUGAGAGCUUAUGGAUUUUUCAUAAAAUUAUAAGUUUAUAAGGGGCCAGGUGAAGUCAUCUUAUUCUGUCCUCAAGCCAGGGACAAAUUUAAUUCACCCUUGAUGGAUGGGACAUUGUUUAACAAGGAUCUCUAGAGAACAAGCGUUGAUAACUUUCAGUGUUUUGCAGCCCUCAGUUGUGAUAUUUCUUCUAUCCUGUUGAAUAUAUUGACACAGAAUGGAAGUCCAUAAUCUUUUGUGUUCUCUUUGGGUAGAAAGAACAGUGUUAUAAAUGUACUUCAUUUUCAUUAUGUUAAAGAAUACUUAUCAAAUGCCUUAUAGGUGCUUGGUGCCAGAUACAACUGUGACACAGGGAGGAAGACAGACUUGAUCCCUGCUGUCAUUUAGCUGUGAGACUCAUGAGGGAUAAUAACCGAUAAUCACAUCAGUAAAUGACUACAAAUUGUAAUAAGUGCUGGGAAGGAAACACUAAGGCAUAGCUACAGAGGAUAGCAAGAGGAAGCUAAGACCUCACUGAGCCUCCAGCUCUGGCCACUGAGUGAUGGUGCCUUCUGUCUGCCAGGGUGGGAUCGGGCACUCAUCCAGUUGCAGGUGUGAGCACUAUUGAGUAGCGCAGGGUCUUGAGCUGUGGCCAUGGACUUGGGCAACAGGAAAUUAGAAAUAUCCUCUGGAAAGCUGGCCGGAUUUGCAGAUGGCUCUGCUGUAGUACAGUCAGGUGACACUGCAGUAAUGGUCACAGCGGUCAGUAAAACAAAACCUUCACCUUUCCAGUUUAUGCCUUUGGUGGUUGACUACAGACAAAAGGCUGCUGCAGCAGGUAGAAUUCCCACAAACCCUCUGAGAAGAGAGAUUGGUACUUCUGAUAAAAAAAAUUCUUAUAAGUUGAAUAAUAGAUUGUUCAAUUAGACCUAUCUUUCCAGCUGGCUACUUCUAUGAUAUACAGGUUCUGUGUAAUCUGUUAGCUGUAGAUGGUAUUAAUGAGCUUGAUGUCUUAGCAAUUAAUGGCGUCUCUGUAGCCCUCUCAUGAUCAGAUAUUCUUUGGAAUGGACCUGUUGGGGCAGUAUGAACAGGAAUGACUGAUGGAGAAUGUGUUGUUAACCCAACAAGAAAAGAAAUGUCUUCUAGUACUUUAAAUGUAGUGGUUGCUGGAGCACCUAAAAGUCAGAUUGUCAUGUUGGAAGCCUCUGCAGAGAACAUUUUACAGCAGGACUUUUGCCAUGCUGUCAAAGUGGGAGUGAAAUAUACCCAACAAAUAAUUCAGGGCAUCCAGCAGUCAGUAAAGAAAUUGGUGUUACCAAGAGGACACCUCAGAAGUUACUUACCCCUUCACCAGAGAUUGUGAAACAUGCUUAUAAACUUGAUAUGGAGAGACUCUAUGCAGUUUUUACAGAUUGUGAACAUGAUAAAAUUUCCAGAGAUGAAGCUGUUAACAAAAUAAGAUUAGAUACAGAGGAGCAACUAAAAGAAAUAUUUCCAGAGGUUGAUCUAUAUGAAUUAAUAGAAUUAUUCAAUGUUGUUGCAAAGGAAGUUUUUAGAAGUAUUAUUUUGAAUGAAUACAAAAGAUGCCAUGGUCGGGAUUUGACUUUACUUAGGAAUAUAGCUUGUGAGGUAGAUAUGUUUAAAACCCUUCAUGGAUCAGAAUUAUUUCAAAGAGGACAACACAGGUGCUUUGUACUGUUACAUUUGAUUCAUUAGAAUCUAGUAUUAAGUUGGAUCAAGUUAUAAUAGCUAUAAAUGGGAUAUAUGGGAUACUAUGAGUUUCCUCCUUAUGCAACUAAUGAAAUUGUCAAAGUCACUGGUUUAAAUAGAAGAGAACUUGGGCAUGGUGCUCUUGCUGAGAAAGCUUUGUAAAAUGUUAUUCCCAAAUAUUUUCUUAUCACUGUAAGAGUUACAUCUCAAGUCCUAGAGUCAAAUGGGCCAUGUUCUAUGGCAUCUGCAUGGGGUGGAAGUUUAGCGUUAAUGGAUUCAGGGGGUCCAAUUUCACCUACUGUCACAGGCGUAGCAAUGGGAUUGGCCACCAAAACCGAUCUUGAGAAGGGUGAAAUAGAAGAUUAUCAUUUGCUAACAGAUAUUCUGGGAAUUGAAGAUUACAGUGGUGACAUGGACUUCAAAAUAGCUGGCACUAAUAAAGGGAUAACUGCAUUACACGCUGAUAUUAAAUUACCUGGAAUACCAAUGAAAAUUGUAAUGGAGGCUAUUCAACAGGCUUCAGUGGCAAAAAAGGAGAUAUUACAGAUCAUGAACAAAACUAUUUCAAAAUCUCAAACAUCUAGAAAAGAAAAUGGACCUGUUGUAGAAACUGUUCAGGUUCCAUUAUCAAAACUAGAAAAACUUGUUGGACUGGGUGGAUAUAACUUAAAAAACAUCAGAUUGAAACAGUUGUAACUAUUAGUCAGGUGGAUGAAGAAACGUUUUCUAUAUUUGCAUCAACACCCAGUGCUAUGCAUGAGGCAAGAGACUUCAUUGCCGAAAUCUGCAAGGAAGAUCAGGAGCAGCAAUUAGAAUUUGGAGCAGGGUAUACCGCCACAAUAACUGAAAGCAGAGAUACUGGUGUAAUGGUAAAAUUAUAUCCAAAUAUGACUGCGGUACUGCUUUAUAACACACAAGUUGAUCAAUGAAAGAUUAAACAUCCUACUGCCCUAGGAUUAGAAGUUGGCCAAGAAAUUCAGGUGAAAUACUUUGGAUGUGACCCAGCUGAUGGAAGAAUGAGGCUUUCUCAUAAAGUGCUUCAGUCUCCAGCUACAACUGUUGUCAGAAGUUUGAAUGACAGAAGCAGUAUUGUAAUGGGAAAACCUAUUUUACAGUCAUCUAAUUAUUCUCCGUGAUUUUUUUAAAGAGAAAUCCAGAAUUCUAUUUUUUCUAGGGUAAGGUGCUAUAGAGCAAAAUUUUAGUAGUAUCUUCCAUUGUGUAGAUUUAUAUACGGUAUAAAUAUAUUCUAAUUAUUUGUAUUAAAAUGCUCAUUUACAUGUGCCAAUUUUGAAAUUCAAGAGUAACCUAUAUUCGUUUAAUCUUAUUUACAUUAUAAAUCAAGAAAUAUUAUUAAAAGUAAGUCAUCUAUACAUCUUAGAAAAGAUUACAUACCUUUGUUUCUCUAAUUCUGAAAUAUAUGAAAAACAUAGAUAUGUCAUAUAUAGUAUUAUAACAGAUCUCUUCCUACAUCUCAUUUGUCUUCUUUAUAUACAGUAGUGACAAUUUACCCUCAGUCAUCCUACAGCUCACCUCUUUGCCCAACAACUUUACUUGCCUACAACUGUCCAUAAACUGGAACAGGCCAUAUUCAAAGCCAGUGCCUAUUUAUUCAGAAUGAUUACUAGACAUAGUGAGUUGAGGGAGCUAAUCUUAUACACUUUUAAUAAUACGAUGUCUUUUAAAUUUGUCACAAAAUCAUGAACAUAGUGGAAUAAAUAUAAAUGAGAUUCUAACUAGGAUGAGGUAGUAAUUAUGUAUAUUUUUCAAAUUUACCUAAACAUAGGAAAAUUAUUUACUUGUCAAAUUGAACUAGGUCACUUUUGGAAUAUGUAUAUUGCUCUAAUGUCUGGAAGUUCUUAGUAUAAGAGCUGGAGGAAUCAUGACUUUCAGUUAAUAGAUGUUUGAAAUAGAUGUUUAGAGGUUACUGAUAUACAUGUCAAGUUGUUCAUUCCCAUCAUUUAAAAUAUCACCUUAUAAUUCCACACAAAAGUAAAUGGCAUGUGGAUGUCAUAAUUUAGAAUGUGUAAUCUUUUUAAAAAUCUUAUAAAAAUACACUGGACUCAGUGGUACGUGCCUGUAGUCCCAGCUACUUGGGAGGCUGAGGUGGGAAGAUCACUUGAACCCAGAAGUUCAACACUGUAGUGUGCAACAAUCAUGCCUAUGAAUAGCUACUUCACUCCAGCCUGGGCAACAUAGCAGGA